This 1877-nucleotide long non-coding RNA is filed under the name Marmota monax (woodchuck). Lineage: Eukaryota; Metazoa; Chordata; Mammalia; Rodentia; Sciuridae. The record is from RNAcentral.
AGGAGUCUUCUCCUGACCAGCCCGAUGUGCUGGACAGAGGGAAGGUCUAAAAGAUCCACGUUAGUUAAUCUGUAAACCUCAGUCAGAUCAUCCUGCAUCCCAGGGUUAGUGGUAAGGUUCAGUAAAAAACUGUGUAAACCCUGAGCAUAAUGUAUUGCCAUCUAACUGAACUGGUGACUUAUGCUGGAUUCACAAAAUCUGACUACCUCAAUAACUGAUAAAACAGCGAAGAAAGCACACAAGCACACAAAAAUACCUUUUCAAAAUCCGGGAUGGCUCUCGACAUUAGGAGUCAGUUGAAAAGAGAGAGAGCGAGCUACCUGAACUCUUUAUUCUUUCAUACGGAGGACACACAAAGGGAAGUUAAUGGAAUGUUUUUCCAAAUAAGGCAAAGGGUCAGGUUUCAGAGGGUUGAGUCUAGCUUCAUGAUGUCUGGUGGUCAGUAGACUGAUUGACAUCUUGGCAAGUCACACCCACAUCUCAGGUGCUGUGUGGGAUCAAAAGGCACAGCUAGCGAAAAGGACACAGACUUGCACUGUUCAGACAGAACAACAACAUCAGUCCAGUCCACUUGUGCUCUCAAAAUGCUCACAGCUCACACACAGCCCAUGGCUGGUCCGCGACAAUAAUGUCUUGCAGGUAAUAGACACUCUACUAACAUUGUUUCUACAUAGUUCUCUUUGUGCUUCCAGGAAAAUCUGUGGGACAUCCCCCCCUCCAAAAAAAAAUUCUCAUUCUCACUGUAAAACAGUGUUUGGGGAAAAAUGGAAACAUCUGUAUAGAUUUCUAUAACACUAUGUAACUGAAUAACAAACAUCAUAAUGACUCCAAUACUCACCUUCUUGUGCUGGGAAAGAAGGCUUUAUUUAAGCACACAUGUAAAGUAUAUUUAGCUUUUAUGACUAAGAAUUCCAUUGUGGCCAGUGUGGCUUGUGGGAUUUUUGUUUUGUUGCCUACUGAAAGCUUUUCUUUCAAGUUGAAGCCAGCCUUACUUAGCAAAUCAUUUUGCCAAGGAACACACUACAGGAUUUUAACUUUGACCAAACACACUUCCCAUAUGUGAAGAAUAUAAAUGUGGCAUUCUAAGAAGCCACAGGGAACAAAAGCUGGGGAAGGGAGAUGGGGAAGAAAACACAAGAAGGACAAAAUGGUGUGACGUGCUACAGAUGUAUAGUAAACAAUAUGACCCAAUGCUGGAGUUAGCCAGUCUAGAUGAGGCAUCUGGAAGGGAUGCCCCCUCUCAAGGACUCCAGAUCAAGCAGUUGGUCUUUAUAUUCAGAGCAUGGUUCCAUUGUUGCCAGGUGAAUUAAGGAAUAUAAGUCUCAAAGACAUCCCUGGAAACUUCCAUCUUUUACUAGGUCCAAGUCAGCAGGCAAGGGUAGCAAGCUGGGAUUCUGCUUUAAUAAUAACAGGGUCUGCUAUUUCUCACUGCCCUGAGGAUAAUCAAGUCAUUCUGGUUCACUUAGUCCCUUGGCCACUGGCCUGUGAGCUGUUGGAGGACACAGACUCUCUUAGGACCUUGUUCCCUGCACUUAAACAGUUCUUGAUUCACAAUGGGUGCUCGACAAGUGAACACAUACACAAACACAAGAUAUUUUUCUGCAAAAAGAAUCCCAGAAGUAAAAAAUAUCAAGGAGCUCUCACUUUCAGGUCAAACAAUCUCUGGUAUGUGUUAAUGUGCCUUCAUUUAACCAACCGUCAAAAACUUUAAAAUGUGAUUUGGUCACUUAGGGUUACAAAAAUCAUGCCUUGUAUCUAAUGUCUUGCUUUUGGUUUUUUUAUUGCCUACGUUAGUUACACACAUGAUAAACACACUCAUUUUGGUUUGGUUUGUAGCUCAAGCUCAGAAAUUCUUUGCAAAUUUGCAAUGCUGUUAC